RNAcentral lists this ribosomal RNA (918 nucleotides) under Escherichia coli. RNAcentral's name for it is "partial 23S ribosomal RNA". It matches the Rfam family "Bacterial large subunit ribosomal RNA", at positions 2031 to 2925 of the family's 2925-position model. Lineage: Bacteria; Pseudomonadati; Pseudomonadota; Gammaproteobacteria; Enterobacterales; Enterobacteriaceae. The record is from RNAcentral.
ACUCAGUGAAAUUGAACUCGCUGUGAAGAUGCAGUGUACCCGCGGCAAGACGGAAAGACCCCGUGAACCUUUACUAUAGCUUGACACUGAACAUUGAGCCUUGAUGUGUAGGAUAGGUGGGAGGCUUUGAAGUGUGGACGCCAGUCUGCAUGGAGCCGACCUUGAAAUACCACCCUUUAAUGUUUGAUGUUCUAACGUGGACCCGUAAUCCGGGUUGCGGACAGUGUCUGGUGGGUAGUUUGACUGGGGCGGUCUCCUCCUAAAGAGUAACGGAGGAGCACGAAGGUUGGCUAAUCCUGGUCGGACAUCAGGAGGUUAGUGCAAUGGCAUAAGCCAGCUUGACUGCGAGCGUGACGGCGCGAGCAGGUGCGAAAGCAGGUCAUAGUGAUCCGGUGGUUCUGAAUGGAAGGGCCAUCGCUCAACGGAUAAAAGGUACUCCGGGGAUAACAGGCUGAUACCGCCCAAGAGUUCAUAUCGACGGCGGUGUUUGGCACCUCGAUGUCGGCUCAUCACAUCCUGGGGCUGAAGUAGGUCCCAAGGGUAUGGCUGUUCGCCAUUUAAAGUGGUACGCGAGCUGGGUUUAGAACGUCGUGAGACAGUUCGGUCCCUAUCUGCCGUGGGCGCUGGAGAACUGAGGGGGGCUGCUCCUAGUACGAGAGGACCGGAGUGGACGCAUCACUGGUGUUCGGGUUGUCAUGCCAAUGGCACUGCCCGGUAGCUAAAUGCGGAAGAGAUAAGUGCUGAAAGCAUCUAAGCACGAAACUUGCCCCGAGAUGAGUUCUCCCUGACUCCUUGAGAGUCCUGAAGGAACGUUGAAGACGACGACGUUGAUAGGCCGGGUGUGUAAGCGCAGCGAUGCGUUGAGCUAACCGGUACUAAUGAACCGUGAGGCUUAACCUUACAACGCCGAAGGUGUUU